ACUACUGUAAGUGAGUCACGUGACUCGCUUUUCUCACAAACGAGCUUCUCUCUCUUCCUUCCUUCAUCAAAUUUCUCUCGAUCUCUCUUUCUCAAAGCGACGCCGCUGCUCGCCGCUGCUCGCCGCCACUCGCCGCCGAUGGACCUCACAACGCCACACCCGUAUCUCUCGUUUUGAACAUCACCGCCUCCUUCUCUGUUCAAUUUCAUGAGUUUGGAUCUAUUCUUCUUUUGAACAUCAACGCCACACCAGGAACAAGGUACUGGUGUAGCAGUAGUUGAAGUGUAAAUGAACUAGGCACUGCUACUGAACUAGGUACUGCUGAAAUUGGCAAAUGAACUAGGCACUGCUGUCCAAGACCAGUUAAAUGAAAUUGGUAAUGGUGUCGAAGACUAGCGUGAAAUUCUGUCGAAGACUAACUGAAAUUGGCAAAUGAACUAGGCACUGCUGUCCAAGACCAGUUAAAUGAAAUUGGUAAUGGUGUCGAAGACUAGCGUGAAAUUCUGUCGAAGACUAACUGAAAUUGGCAAAUGAACUAGGCACUGCUGUCCAAGACCAGUUAAAUGAAAUUGGUACUGGUGUCGAAGACUAGCGUGAAAUUCUGUCGAAGACUAACUGAAAUUGAUGCUUAGUUUAAUGUAGUUGUAAUCUGCGACAAAGCUCACUGGUGCUUAGUUUGUAUUCACUAUGCUUACACAUUGUAAAUGAAAGAACUUGGCACUGCGUUGAUUUUGUCGAAGAUGUAGAUUGUAAAUGGGGGUUAGCUCUAUUUGUAGAGUGAUUCACAUUGUAAAUGGGAAUUAGCUCUAUCUUUGUACAAAUUGUAAUUAUCAUCUUAUAUUAAAUGAAAAAGUUUGAUUUAAUUGCCUCAA
This is a long non-coding RNA of Trifolium pratense (red clover), 872 nucleotides long. RefSeq lists it as uncharacterized. The record is from RefSeq and is a predicted model, not a curated record. Lineage: Eukaryota; Viridiplantae; Streptophyta; Magnoliopsida; Fabales; Fabaceae. The transcript is spliced from 2 exons.